AUACGGAGGGUGCGAGCGUUGUUCGGAAUUAUUGGGCGUAAAGAGCAUGUAGGCGGUCUGUUAAGUCUGGUGUGAAAGCCCGGGGCUCAACCCCGGAAGUGCAUUGGAUACUGGCAGACUUGAGUAUGGGAGAGGAAAGCGGAAUUCCGAGUGUAGGAGUGAAAUCCGUAGAUAUUCGGAGGAACACCAGUGGCGAAGGCGGCUUUCUGGACCAAUUCUGACGCUGAGAUGCGAAAGCGUGGGGAGCGAACAGGAUUAGAAACCCUAGUAGUCC
RNAcentral lists this ribosomal RNA (274 nucleotides) under uncultured bacterium. RNAcentral describes it as "partial 16S ribosomal RNA". It matches the Rfam family "Bacterial small subunit ribosomal RNA", at positions 523 to 796 of the family's 1533-position model. The record is from RNAcentral.